RNAcentral lists this ribosomal RNA (254 nucleotides) under uncultured bacterium. RNAcentral describes it as "partial 16S ribosomal RNA". It matches the Rfam family "Bacterial small subunit ribosomal RNA", at positions 524 to 776 of the family's 1533-position model. The record is from RNAcentral.
UACGUAGGGGGCGAGCGUUGUCCGGAUUCAUUGGGCGUCAAGCGCUUUAAGGCGGUUCGGUAAGUCGGGUGUGAAACCUCCAGGCUCAACCUGGAGACGCCACUCGAUACUGCUGUGACUAGAGUUCGGUAGGGGAUCACGGAAUUCCUGGUGUAGCGGUGAAAUGCGCAGAUAUCAGGAGGAACACCGGUGGCGAAGGCGGUGAUCUGGGCCGACACUGACGCUGUAGAGCGAAAGCGUGGGGAGCGAACAGG